AAGGCGAGAGCACAGUGGUUCGUCAUUGUUCGUAAUAUUCAGACCUUGCUGACACAAAAGACACGCAGAAUGGAUCGCUUUUGUACAGAAGAUGGCCUCAAUAGAAAGGUGAUGAAGGAAACUGUUUGAAUCACUUUGCCCAAUUGAUGGGGCCUCCACACCAGCUCUACUGCGCUCCUCCUCUUGACUCAGGUUCUGCACCAGGCCAGCAUACUGAUCAGACAGCCGGUUCAAGCCAAGAGAGGCCAAGCUCCCACCAACCCAAGGGGCUAAUGCAG
Long non-coding RNA from Esox lucius (northern pike), 278 nucleotides. RefSeq lists it as uncharacterized. Lineage: Eukaryota; Metazoa; Chordata; Actinopteri; Esociformes; Esocidae. The record is from RefSeq and is a predicted model, not a curated record. The transcript has 3 exons.